Molecule: long non-coding RNA, 740 nt
Organism: Sander lucioperca (pikeperch)
Lineage: Eukaryota; Metazoa; Chordata; Actinopteri; Perciformes; Percidae
Exons: 5
Source: RefSeq, a predicted model, not a curated record
GGGACAGGGAACAGCUCACCUGUGUCAGAGAUUUCUCUCCAGGUGGAGAGAGACCCUCUUCUUCAUCAACUCUUCUUCAUCAACUCUUUGGACUGUUUGAAGAAACUCCCUUCCUGCCUGCUUCCUGACAGGUGGAGCUGGGACUCAUUCCAGGGAACAGCUCACCUGUGUCAGAGAUUUCUCUCCAGGUGGAGAGUGACCCUCUUCUUCAUCAACUCUUCUUCAUCAACUCUUCUUCAUCAACUCUUCUUCAUCAACUCUUCUUCAUCAACUCUAUGGACUGUUUGAAGAAACUCCCUUCCUGCCUGCUUCCUGACAGGUGGAGCUGGGACUCAUUCCAGGGAACAGCUCACCUGUGUCAGAGAUUUCUCUCCAGGUGGAGAGUUACCCUCUUCUUCAUCAACUCUUCUUCAUCAACUCUUCUUCAUCACCUCUUUGGACUGUGUGAAGAAACUGACCCAUCAGAGACCAGACCCUGCUGAAGCUGAACCUGAACCUGAACCCAGCUGUGUUUCCAUGAAGAGUGUCCGGUCCAUGGAGACACCACUACUUUAAAAAGAACGCGAUCUGUAAGGGAGAUUAAAAUGGAGAACAGUGUGAGGGAGCGAAUUGAAAUGGAGAGAGGAAGAUGGAGGACCAGACCAGAGUCUCCUGAAUCUGGAUAUGCAUCCAGCUGUGUGUCCUUUAAGAGCAACCGGUCAAUGGAGGAUUGGGUUGAUUUUAAACGUGUUUCUGAGAAA